UGGGGAAUUUUGGACAAUGGGCGAAAGCCUGAUCCAGCAAUGCCGCGUGUGUGAAGAAGGCCUUCGGGUUGUAAAGCACUUUUGUCCGGAAAGAAAUGGCUCUGGUUAAUACCUGGGGUCGAUGACGGUACCGGAAGAAUAAGGACCGGCUAACUACGUGCCAGCAGCCGCGGUAAUACGUAGGGUCCAAGCGUUAAUCGGAAUUACUGGGCGUAAAGCGUGCGCAGGCGGUUGUGCAAGACCGAUGUGAAAUCCCCGAGCUUAACUUGGGAAUUGCAUUGGUGACUGCACGGCUAGAGUGUGUCAGAGGGGGGUAGAAUUCCACGUGUAGCAGUGAAAUGCGUAGAGAUGUGGAGGAAUACCGAUGGCGAAGGCAGCCCCCUGGGAUAACACUGACGCUCAUGCACGAAAGCGUGGGGAGCAAACAGGAUUAGAUACCCCUGGUAGUCCACGCCCCUAAACGAUGUCAACUAGUUGUUGGGGAUUCAUUUCCUUAGUAACGUAGCUAACGCGUGAAGUUGACCGCCUGGGGAGUACGGUCGCAAGAUUAAACUUAAAUGAAUUGACGGGGUCAUAGCUGUUUCCUG
RNAcentral lists this ribosomal RNA (587 nucleotides) under uncultured bacterium. Its description in RNAcentral is "partial 16S ribosomal RNA". It matches the Rfam family "Bacterial small subunit ribosomal RNA", at positions 355 to 1376 of the family's 1533-position model. The record is from RNAcentral.